UACGUAGGGUGCGAGCGUUGCCCGGAUUUAUUGGGCGUAAAGGGCGCGUAGGCGGCUCGGCACGUCCGUUGUGAAAUCGCCCGGCUCAACUGGGCGGGGUCAGCGGAUACGGUCGAGCUUGAGCAAGCUAGGGGGUAAUGGAAUUCCCGGUGUAGUGGUGGAAUGCGUAGAUAUCGGGAGGAACACCGGUGGCGAAGGCGGCGACCUGGGUCGAGACUGACGCUGAGGUGCGAAAGCGUGGGGAGCAAACAGG
This 253-nucleotide ribosomal RNA is filed under the name uncultured bacterium. RNAcentral's name for it is "partial 16S ribosomal RNA". It matches the Rfam family "Bacterial small subunit ribosomal RNA", at positions 524 to 776 of the family's 1533-position model. The record is from RNAcentral.